Molecule: long non-coding RNA, 1601 nt
Organism: Acinonyx jubatus (cheetah)
Lineage: Eukaryota; Metazoa; Chordata; Mammalia; Carnivora; Felidae
Exons: 2
Source: RefSeq, a predicted model, not a curated record
CAGAGAGACCUGGCUGCAAUUGCCCUCUGGUCGUAGGUGAGUGUUGUUCUUCCUGUCUCCACGAACAGAUACUCCCUCUACCCUUGAACACACUGCUGUCACUGGGGCCUCACUGCUGGGAGGGGUCUUCUGGUUCAGCUGUCUCCUCACUGAAGCGUAUGCUUCGUGAGACUCUAGGCUAUUUUUAUCUUUGGCCUCCGUGCCUAGCACUGGGCUACGAUUAGUCUAUCAAGUUUCCGCACACACGAAGGAGUAAAUGCAGAAAUAUCUAUUCAGUGUGUGCAGUCAAAAACGAAGUUCAGAAUCGCAUUGGUUCUUAGGUAAAUCAUUUACUGGCGAGUUGACUCUUUAGAAGUAUUGCCCCUCCCCUCUUGGCUUCAAGUGAAUUUUGGACACACGAAUGGAUACAAUGACUAGGACAAUAAAAAUGGCUAGCACACGAGGAUGCUCACCACGUGCCCGGCUCGUCUCUAGGCACUUUCAGUAGAGAAUAUGUUCUACUCCAGCCUUUAUACCUGACUUACUAUAGCCUGGGUGUAUUGUGUGUGUGUGCUUACACACGCGCACACCUACACGCCCCUUCUGACGCGUGCAAUCUUGAUUAUUUACCGUUGCCUAAAUAUAUUAACACACAAUUUCCUACAGAAGUAAAAACCAUCAUGUUUAGGAAGAGGUAUUUUCCUGCCUGAACCUAUAUAGCUUGUGCUGGCAAGUGAAUUUUCUGUGAAACUGGUGACUUUGAAAGAUCUGGAAAACAAAACCGCGCAGCUUGAAGAAAGGUGGUUUCCAUUGCCAUCGGACCUACUAAUGCUUUCCAGUCUUUCUUUCUACACAUUGGGGCAAGGAGGGGAAGACAGAAUAAAUACCUCGUCCAAACUCCAGGACUGGAGACAAAUAUUUUAAUUUUCUAAACAUUUUUACAAGUCGAGAGAAAUGGAAACUUUGCAGACUGUGAAAGGCAUCCUUUCAGGUUCCUUUUAUUUUCAGGUUAGGGGAGUGCUGUUUGAGUGGUGCUGAAUUCACAGGGUCAACCUCUUGUCGGCUGAACGGUUUACAAAUUGAGGAUUCCGCUCCGAUAGGUUGAUUUCGUGUUGCUUGUCCAGUUUUUAAGCCGGGAAGAGAAGCCUUCUGGUGAUGUGAUAUGAAAACGUGGUCUGUUCUGCCGGAUUUAGUUAAUCUGCUGCUGCUGCUGCUGGUGAAUCAAAGGAAGAAGGAGGAGGAGGGAGAGAAGAGCUACCUACGUAGCUGUUACUCACACAUCCGCGUUGCACUGAAUUUACUGGCUAACGCAGUGACAACAGCGAUUAUUUUUCUCGACACCAGUGAUGCCGUGGGACUGUUCAGGGUUCUGCGAAGGGACUGCCCAUUGGCGUUUUGUGCCAGACCAGGCAUUUUCACCUGGGGAGUGCCUUGCGGUCUUAUUCAUUUUUCUGGACCCUGAGCCCUUGGCAAGCAAAACAAGAAUUCGGAGCCGUCUUUUUUUAAAUGACUUCAGCAGGAGGGCUCGGCCCAGGAUCUCUCCGCCCCCUUCCCACUGAGAAACUCAGACCGCUGUUUUUUAGCUGUUUACCCAAAAACGAAUAAACAAAACCUCGCGAUGA